AAAGUCGUAACAAGGUUUCCGUAGGUGAACCUGCGGAAGGAUCAUUACAGAGACAGUGCCCAAAGGGUACAUCUCCCACCCUGUGAAUACCUACCUUGUUGCUUCGGCAGUGCCUGUCAGGUAACUGCAGCCUGCCAGAAGGCCUCUCAACUCUUGUAAUAUGUUGUCUGAGUCUAGAAGAAUAAAUAAAACUUUCAACAACGGAUCUCUUGGUUCUG
Molecule: unclassified non-coding RNA, 218 nt
Filed under: Ascomycota sp.
Lineage: Eukaryota; Fungi; Ascomycota
Description: partial contains small subunit ribosomal RNA, internal transcribed spacer 1, and 5.8S ribosomal RNA
Rfam family: Eukaryotic small subunit ribosomal RNA (bases 1-47)
Source: RNAcentral